AGAGUUUGAUCCUGGCUCAGGACGAACGCUGGCGGCGUGCCUAAUGCAUGCAAGUCGAACGAGGUCGCUCCUUCGGGGGCUCAACCUAGUGGCAGACGGCUGAGUAACGCGUGGGUUGACCUGCCCUCGAGAGUGGGAUAACUGCGAGAAAUUGCAGCUAAUACCGCAUACAUUCCCUCGUUUCAAUGCGUGGGAAGAAAGAUUUAUCGCUCGGGGAUGGGCCCGCGUCCUAUCAGGUANUUGGUGCGGUAACGGCGUACCAAGCCUAAAACGGGUAUCUGGUGUGAGAGCAUGACCAGACAGAGGGGGACUGAGACACGGCCCCCACUCCUCCGGGAGGCAGCAGCAAGGGAUCGUGCACAAUGGGCGAAAGCCUGAUGCCGCGACGCCGCGUGAGGGAUGACGGCUUUCGAGUUGUAAACCUCUUUUCUCAGUCAAGAGAGAGGACUAACUGAGGAAUAAGUCACGGCUAACUACGUGCCAGCAGCCGCGCGUAAUACGUACGCGUGGCAAGCGUUCGUCCGGAAUUACGUGGGCGUAAAGCGGUCCGCUAGCGGUUCGGUAAGUCUUUGUGUGAAAGCUCCAGGCUCAACUUGGAGUCGUCGGAAGCAAACUGCUGGACUAGAGACUGUCAGAGGCAGUGUGGAAUUCCCGGAUGUUGUGGUGAAAUACGUAGAUAUCGGGAGGAACAUCAGUGGCGAAAGCGGCCUGACGGGCAGUUCUGACGCUAAGGGACUAAAGCGUGGGGAGCGAACCGGAUUAGAUACCCGGGUAGUCCACGCCCUAAACGAUGAAUGCUAGGUCUUCGGGGUGUUAAUUCCCUGUGGGCCGAAGGUAACCCAUUAAGCAUUUCGCCUGGGGACUACGGCCGCAAGGCUAAAACUCAAAGGAAUUGACGGGUCCCCGCACAAGCAGCGGAGCGUGUGGUUUAAUUCGAUGGUAAGCGAAGAACCUUACCUAGGCUUGACAUGUUUGGUGUACCGAACCG
This 988-nucleotide ribosomal RNA is filed under the name uncultured Chloroflexota bacterium. RNAcentral's name for it is "bacterial SSU rRNA". It matches the Rfam family "Bacterial small subunit ribosomal RNA", at positions 8 to 1003 of the family's 1533-position model. Lineage: Bacteria; Bacillati; Chloroflexota. The record is from RNAcentral.